CGGGGCGACAUGGUUUCGACGCCGGUGACAACUCUGCGGUGCAUGCCGAGAGCGUGAUGUAUCUCGUAAAUCCAACAUCACGAUUAAAUAGUCGCAAACGACGACACCUACGCUCAGGGCGCGCUGGCAGCGUAAACCUGCUGGCUUCUAGCCCGGCCCCAAAGCGAUGCCCAUUCAUCGCGGAGGGAUAUGAGCCAAGACUGAUGGGAUCGCGGUCGGCGGCGUCCUCCCGUCGAUCGUUAAACUCGAGGAAUCGCGCUGCUGGAUCCCGCCCGUCGGACAGCGGCGUUAAAUGAAAAGACGGACCUAAGCAUGUAGAGCCAAUGGGCGAGUGCCGGCGGACGCGGGUUCAAUUCCCGCCGCCUCCACCA
This 371-nucleotide transfer-messenger RNA is filed under the name Gammaproteobacteria (g-proteobacteria). RNAcentral describes it as "c Gammaproteobacteria X18 Standard tmRNA". It matches the Rfam family "transfer-messenger RNA". Rfam says of the family: Bacterial tmRNA, also known as 10Sa RNA or SsrA, is named for its dual tRNA and mRNA-like properties. Its role is to liberate the mRNA from a stalled ribosome. Lineage: Bacteria; Pseudomonadati; Pseudomonadota. RNAcentral also lists the same sequence under 1 other name. The record is from RNAcentral.